GAUGAACGCUGGCGGCGUGCCUAAUACAUGCAAGUCGAGCGAACAGAUGAGGAGCUUGCUGCUCUGACGUUAGCGGCGGACGGGUGAGUAACACGUGGAUAACCUAUCUAUAAGACUGGGAUAACUUCGGGAAACCGGAGCUAAUACCGGAUAAUAUAUUGAACCGCAUGGUUCAAUAGUGAAGGACGGUUUUGCUGGCACUUAUAGAUGGAUCCGCGCCGCAUUAGCGAGUUGGUAAGGUAACGGCUUACCAAGGCAACGAUGCGUAGCCGACCUGAGAGGGUGAUCGGCCACACUGGAACUGAGGCACGGUCCAGACUCCUACGGGAGGCAGCAGGAGGGAAUCUUCCGCAAUGGGCGAAUGCCUGACGGCGCAACGCCGCGUGAGUGAUGAAGGUCUUCGGCUCUUAAAGCUCUGUUAUUAGGGAAGACCAAAUGUGUAAGUAACUAUGCACGUCUUGACGGUACCUAAUCAGAAAGCCACGGCUAACUACGUG
This 497-nucleotide ribosomal RNA is filed under the name uncultured bacterium. RNAcentral describes it as "partial 16S ribosomal RNA". It matches the Rfam family "Bacterial small subunit ribosomal RNA", at positions 28 to 507 of the family's 1533-position model. The record is from RNAcentral.